UAGCAUAAGCUCCAUGAGGUCAGGGACUGUUCCUGUAUGCUUAUCCUUUUAUUUUCACUGCCUAUCAGAGUGCCUGCUACAUAUGGUCUGGAACAAAACCCACAUUGUUGCCAAGGUUUCCUCCACAACUUCUCUACAGAGGAGUGGUUAGUGAGCUUGAACAGCUGAGCAAUAAUCCUCAUGAGAGGUUAGAAAUUACAGUGGGAACUACUGCCAAUGAAUAAGGAUGUCUAAAUCAAUGGGGUGACCACUAAACAGGAAUCUUUAAAUGGAUUCUGGGGUUGCAGAGGCCAAGUGGCAACACUUAAUUGCCAAAGUCAAGAUGAAUUUAUGCUGUAUUGGCCAAGAGAUUAUAGUUCCAGAGGGAAGACUGCUUCUACCAGAAGACCCAAGAAUGAUUUCAUUGAAAUAGAAGUUAAGACUGCUACCCAUCUACUUUGGGCUUCUCAUGCCUCUAAGUAAAUUUUGCUUAUUUUUAGUUACUGUGCUAAUUGGAACAAUUGAUCCUGACUGCCAAGAAUAAAUCGGACUGUUGCUAUACAAUAGAGGUAAGGGAAGACUAUGUCUGGGAGGCAGGAGAUAUUUUUGGAUAUCUGUUAGUGCUACCAUGCCCUGUGGUUAAAGUCAAUGGAAAACUAUGACAACCAAAUCCAGGCAGGACUACCAGUAGCCAAGACCCUACAAGAAUGAAGGUUUGUGUUACCCACCAGACAAAGAACCAUGGCCAACUGACAUUCUUGCUGAGAACAAAGAAUGCAAGCAAUGGAAAGUGGGAAAAGUGGCACAGGUAGCACUUGGCUUUAUUGACACACUGCUGAAGAGGACACAACUUCCUGAAGAAAAAGAGAGGCUAAAGAGGUGAUUUUAGUUUGUAGAUAAAUACUGCUUUUCAAUCUGAAUAAAAUUGCAUGAAGACUUGGAACAUACAUACUUAAAGGAAGGCAAGUUUGAAAAUCUGGUUUGGGGAUUUAUGGUGGAUAUUUUUGCUUAACACUAUGUCAUACAACAGUAAUAAAAAAUAAAAAGGUGUUGUUUCAAUAAAAUU
Long non-coding RNA from Homo sapiens (human), 1045 nucleotides. RefSeq lists it as uncharacterized. Lineage: Eukaryota; Metazoa; Chordata; Mammalia; Primates; Hominidae. The transcript is spliced from 7 exons. The record is from RefSeq and is a predicted model, not a curated record.